CUUCAGCAUCCUGGUGCUGCUGUACUGUGGAGCCUGUGCGAUCCAUUAGCCAAGAUGCCUGAGGAAACCCAGACCCAAGACCAACUGGUAGAGGAGGAGGAGGUUGAGAUGUUUGCCUUUCAAGCAGAAAUUGCCCAGUUGAUGUCAUUGAUCAUCAAUACUUUCUACUUGAACAAAGAGAUCUUUCUGAGAGAGCUCAUUUCAAACUCUUCAGAUGCUUUGGACAAAAUCAGAUAUGAAAGUUUGACAGAUCCCAGUAAACUAAACUCUAGGAAAGAGUUGCACAUUAAUCUCAUACCAAACAAACAAGAUCGAACCCUUACUAUUGUGGAUACUGGCAUUGGAAUGACCAAGGCUGACUUGAUCAGUAACCUUGGUACUAUGGCCACUUCUGGAACCAAAGCAUUCAUGGAAGCGCUGCAGGCUGGUGCAGGUAUAUCUAUGAUUGGCCAGUUUGGUGUUGGUUUUUAUUCUGCAUAUUUGGUUGCCAAGAAAGUAACUGUGAUCACCAAACACAACGAUGAUGAGCAGUAUGCCUGGGAGUCCUCUGCAGGAGGAUCAUUCGCAGUGAGGACCGACACUGGUGAACCUAUGGGUCAUGGAACAAAGGUUAUUCUCCAUCUAAAAGAAGACCAAACUGAGUACUUGGAAGAAAGAAGAAGAAAGGAGACUGUGAAGAAACAUUCUCAGUUCAUUGGCUAUCCCAUUACUCUCUUUGUGGAGAAAGAACGUGGUAAAGAAGUCAGUGAUGAUGAGGUGGAAGAAAAGGAAGACCAGGAGGAGAAAGAAAACGGAGAAAAGGAGUCUGAUGACAAAUCUGAAAUAGAAGAUGUUGGUUCUGAUGAAGAAGAGGAGAAGAGAGAUGGUGGCAAGAAGAAGAAGAUUAAGGACAAAUACAUUGAUCACGAAGAGCUCAACAAAACAAAGCCUAUUUGGACCAGAAAUCCUGAUGAUAUAACUAAUGAGGAGUAUGGAGAAUUCUGCAAGAGCUUGGCCAGUGACUGGGAAGAUCACUUGGCAGUGAAGCACUUUUCAGUAGACAGACAGUUAGAAUUCAGAGCUCUGCUUUUUGUCCCAAGAUGUGCUCCUUUUGACCUAUUUGAAAACAGAAAGAAAAAGAACAACAUUAAGUUGUAUGUCCGCAGAGUUUUUAUCAUGGAUAACUGUGAGGAGCUAAUCCCUGAAUAUUUGAAUUUUAUUACAGGAGUGGUGGACUCUGAGGAUCUCCCUCUAAAUAUUUCCGAUGAGAUGUUGCAGCAAAGCAAAAUUUUGAAAGUUAUCAGAAAGAAUUUGGUCAAAAGUGCUUAGAGCUCUUUACUGAACUGGCAGAAGAUAAGGAGAACUACAAAAGUCUUAUGAGCAAUUCUCUAAAAACACAAAGCUUGGAAUACGUAAAGAUUCUCAAAAUCGGAAGAAGCUUUCAGAGCUAUUGUGAUACUACACUUCUGCUUCAGGUGAUGAGAUGGUUUCUCUGAAGGACUACUGCACCAGAGUGAAGGAAAACCAGAAACAUAUCUACUGUAUCACAGGUGAGACCAAGGACCAGGUAGCUAACUCAGCCUUCAUGGAACGUCUUCAGAAUCAUGGCUUAGAAGUGACAUAUAUGAUCGAGCCGAUUGAUGAGUACUGUGUCCGACAGCUGAAAGAAUUUGAGGGGAAAACUUUGUGUCAGUCAUCAAACAGGGCUUGGAACUUCCAGAAGAUGAAGAGGAGAAAAAGAAACAGGAAGAGAAGAAAACAAAGUUUGAAAACCUCUGCAAAAUCAUGAAAGAUAUCUUGGAGAAAAAAGUUGAAAAGGUGGUUGUGUCAACCGAUUGGUGACAUCCCCGUGCUGUAUUGUCCAAUAUGGUUGGUCAGCAAACAUGGAAAGAAUCAUGAAAGCUCAAGCCCUGAGAGACAACUCAACAAUGGGUUACAUGGCAGCAAAGAAACACUUGGAGAUAAAUCCUGACCAUUCCAUCAUCGAGACCUUCAGGCAAAAGGCAGAGGCUGACAAGAACGACAAGUCAGUGAAGGAUCUGGUCGUCUUGCUCUACGAAACUGCUGUCUUCUGGCUUCAGUCUGGAAGAUCCCCAGACACAUGCUAACAGGAUCUACAUGAUGAUCAAACUUAGUCUGGGUAUUGAUGAAGAUGACCCUACUGCUGACGAUACCAGUGCUGCUGUAACUGAAGAGAUGCCACCUCUUGGAGGAGAUGAUGACACAUCACGCGUGGAAGAAGCAGAUUAAGCUUUCCCUGACAGA
RNA transcript from Otolemur garnettii (small-eared galago), 2244 nucleotides. It is a transcript of the gene named heat shock protein HSP 90-alpha pseudogene, with no coding region annotated. Lineage: Eukaryota; Metazoa; Chordata; Mammalia; Primates; Galagidae. The transcript has a single exon. The record is from RefSeq and is a predicted model, not a curated record.